GUCGCCGAAGCGACGGGAAUCCGCGCCCGCUUCGCGUGCCUAGCUAACGGAACGAAACAAACAGAGCCGACUUCCCCUUGGCCCGUUCACAGCCGGCCCGCCCCCUCUCCUUGACGGCGACAACUGGGCGAGCACCGACGACUGGGCCAGCGACGCCAUCCUACGCCAGGUCUUCGUCGGCUAGUUUGAAGGCGAAUUUGUUGAGGCAUCGGAGGCUACAUUCACCAGUGCAAGCAAAAUUUUGGUUUAGAGCAAAGGAUGGCAGCACAGCUAGUCUUUUCCAGUGUUUCCAAUUGCCAAUGCCCAUUAGGCAUUUCACCGAAAAAAUGUUAGGAAGGCACUUCUUGGUGAAAGUGCAAGAAUUUUUCAGAGAAACAAGUGGUUUUCUAGUGGUCCAUAUCGCUCUUCUCGACUGGAGUGCUCUGCAAACUCCCGUCGAGUGGGGCCACGGCGUACCAAGGAUACCUUAUAUGACAUUCACCCUGAGAUCUCCUUGCUCUAUGGAGAGGAUAAUGGUGCAGCUACUGUAUCCAGCAAGGGGCAGGGUAUUGACACUGCAGCUGAAAGAUUGGUAGAUGCUCCUGCCUCUUACCGCUACAAUGAGCCCAGGAUUAAAGUCAUUGGCGUUGGAGGUGGUGGCUCUAAUGCUGUGAACAGGAUGAUUGAAAGCUCCAUGAAGGGCGUAGAAUUCUGGAUCGUGAACACUGAUUUUCAGGCUAUGCGGAUAUCGCCCAUUGACCCAGAAAAUAGGUUACAGAUUGGCCUGGAACUGACACGUGGUCUUGGUGCUGGUGGGAACCCAGAAAUCGGCAUGAACGCAGCCAAGGAAAGCCAGGAGUUGGUAGAACAAGCAGUUUCUGGUGCUGAUAUGGUUUUUGUGACGGCCGGAAUGGGAGGUGGGACAGGAACUGGUGGGGCACCUAUUAUUGCAGGGAUUGCUAAGUCCAUGGGUAUAUUAACUGUUGGAAUCGUGACAACCCCAUUUUCAUUCGAGGGAAGAAGGCGAGCUCUUCAAGCACAAGAAGGAAUUGCAUCAUUGAGAAGCAAUGUUGAUACACUGAUCGUAAUUCCAAAUGACAAGUUACUCACUGCUGCAUCCCCAAAUACUCCUGUGACAGAAGCAUUCAAUUUGGCAGAUGAUAUCCUUCGGCAAGGUGUCUGUGGGAUCUCAGAUAUAAUCACUGUGCCAGGUUUGGUGAAUGUGGACUUUGCUGAUGUUCGGUCAGUUAUGUCAGAUGCAGGUUCAUCAUUGAUGGGCAUUGGAACAGCAACAGGUAAGACCCGAGCCAGAGAUGCCGCACUUAAUGCCAUACAGUCUCCUCUACUUGAUAUUGGUAUUGAGAGAGCUACUGGAAUUGUAUGGAAUAUCACUGGAGGGAAUGAUCUAACCUUGACAGAGGUGAACGCGGCAGCUGAAGUAAUCUACGAUCUUGUUGACCCUGGUGCAAAUUUGAUUUUUGGCUCUGUUAUAGAUCCAUCAUACACUGGCCAAGUGAGCAUAACUCUGAUUGCAACUGGAUUCAAACGCCAGGAGGAAAGUGAGAAUCAAUCUUCGCAGGCUGGAGACAGCAACCGCCGUCACUCGGGUUGGUUUUCUCCCACUUCCCAGGAGGAAGGUCCAGGAUUGCAGAUCCCAGAGUUCCUGCAGAGGAAAGGCCGUUCAGGGUUUCCGCGAGUCUGAACACGUGCUACAGUAGUUUGGUUCAUUGCUCUUCUUUAUCAUGGUUUCCCACCUCUUUUUGGUAGUUUGGUAUCUUGCAGCUUCCGUUUCUAGGUCUCUUUUGUAGCAAGAUAUUGGUUGUUUACUGUAGUGUUAGAUCAGAUGUUGGAACCCUGACUCUGUGCAAACUAGAGGCCGCCUGAGUAGAUUGGGCCGGGCUUCUAUGCUUCUGGACCUGCAGUAGAUGAGGAUCAAUUUGAACUCCAUAAGAGCUAUGAAUAAGUCUGCACCAGAGAGCAUACUAUAAUGUUCCGUGUGAAGGAUUAUCUCUGAUUUUCUU
Panicum virgatum (switchgrass) is the source of this 2000-nucleotide RNA transcript. It is a transcript of the gene named cell division protein FtsZ homolog 2-2, chloroplastic-like, with no coding region annotated. The record is from RefSeq and is a predicted model, not a curated record. Lineage: Eukaryota; Viridiplantae; Streptophyta; Magnoliopsida; Poales; Poaceae. The transcript has 8 exons.